Molecule: ribosomal RNA, 484 nt
Filed under: uncultured bacterium
Lineage: Bacteria
Description: bacterial SSU rRNA
Rfam family: Bacterial small subunit ribosomal RNA
Source: RNAcentral
GAUGAACGCUAGCGGCAGGCCUAAUACAUGCAAGUCGAGCGGCAGUUGGGGUAGUAAUACAACAAUGAGAGCGGCGCACGGGUGCGUAACGCGUAUGCAACCUACCUCAUACAGGGGGAUAGCCCGGAGAAAUCUGGAUUAAUACCCCCAUAGUACAUAGAGAUGGCAUCUGAACUAUGUUAAAGAUUUAUCGGUAUGAGAUGGGCAUGCGUCUGAUUAGCUAGUUGGCGGUGUAACGGACCACCAAGGCGACGAUCAGUAGGGGUUCUGAGGGGAAGGUCCCCCGACACUGGCACUGAGAUACGGGCCAGACUCCUACGGGAGGCAGCAGUAGGGAAUAUUGGGCAAUGGUCGGAAGACUGACCAGCCAUGCCGCGUGCAGGAAGACGGCCCUAUUGGGUUGUAAACUGCUUUUAUCUGGGAACGAAAAGUCCAUGCGUGAAAACUUGCCGGUACCAGAUGAAUAAGCACCGGCUAACUCCGU